RNAcentral lists this ribosomal RNA (253 nucleotides) under uncultured bacterium. RNAcentral describes it as "partial 16S ribosomal RNA". It matches the Rfam family "Bacterial small subunit ribosomal RNA", at positions 524 to 776 of the family's 1533-position model. The record is from RNAcentral.
UACGUAGGGGGCAAGCGUUGUCCGGAAUCAUUGGGCGUGAAGAGCGUGUAGGUGGCUCGGUAAGUCCGCUGUGAAAGUCCAGGGCUCAACCCUGGAAUGCCGGUGGAAACUGUCGAGCUCGAGUCCGGAAGAGGCGAGUGGAAUUCCUGGUGUAGCGGUGAAAUGCGCAGAUAUCAGGAGGAACACCAAUGGCGAAGGCAGCUCGCUGGGACGGUACUGACGCUGAGACGCGAAAGCGUGGGGAGCGAACAGG